GACGAACGCUGGCGGCGUGCUUAACACAUGCAAGUCGAACGGAAAGGCCCUGCUUUUGUGGGGUGCUCGAGUGGCGAACGGGUGAGUAACACGUGAGUAACCUGCCCUUGACUUUGGGAUAACUUCAGGAAACUGGGGCUAAUACCGGAUAGGAGCUCCUGCUGCAUGGUGGGGGUUGGAAAGUUUCGGCGGUUGGGGAUGGACUCGCGGCUUAUCAGCUUGUUGGUGGGGUAGUGGCUUACCAAGGCUUUGACGGGUAGCCGGCCUGAGAGGGUGACCGGCCACAUUGGGACUGAGAUGCGGCCCAGACUCCUACGGGAGGCAGCAGUGGGGAAUAUUGCACAAUGGGCGGAAGCCUGAUGCAGCAACGCCGCGUGCGGGAUGACGGCCUUCGGGUUAUAAACCGCUUUCGCCUGUGACGAAGCGUGAGUGACGGUAAUGGGUAAAGAAGCACCGGCUAACUACGUG
RNAcentral lists this ribosomal RNA (468 nucleotides) under uncultured bacterium. RNAcentral describes it as "partial 16S ribosomal RNA". It matches the Rfam family "Bacterial small subunit ribosomal RNA", at positions 28 to 507 of the family's 1533-position model. The record is from RNAcentral.